RNAcentral lists this long non-coding RNA (379 nucleotides) under Rattus norvegicus (Norway rat). Its description in RNAcentral is "long non-coding RNA NONRATT024539". The record is from RNAcentral. Lineage: Eukaryota; Metazoa; Chordata; Mammalia; Rodentia; Muridae.
GCUCCCCCCAUCCCCAAAUUGGACAACACUUCUUCCUGCUAUGAUGGGCCCCUGGGCAUCAUGAACUUCAUUAUUGCUCCCUGGCUGGAAUUGAAACUGCCCAUCUGUAGUGGUCCAGUGCGUUGACCAUGCACCUGAGAAUCCACGCAAGACGGAGCCCUCCUCGCCGGCCGGCCUGGACACUUGGGAUCUGGUCCCUCUUCUGGGGAUGUAUCGUCAGCUCUGUGUGGAGUUCUUCUAAUGUAGCCUCCUCCUCCUCCUCUUCUUCCUCUCCGGGAUCUCACUCUCAGCACGAACACCAUUUCCACGGCAGCAAGCACCACUCUGUGCCUAUUUCUAUCUAUCGCUCCCCUGUUUCCCUUCGAGGAGGGCACGGUGG